UCGGGAAUUUUGGGCAAUGGGCGAAAGCCUGACCCAGCAACGCCGCGUGAAGGAUGAAGUAUUUCGGUAUGUAAACUUCGUAAGAAUAGGAAGAAUAAAUGACGGUACUAUUUGUAAGGUCCGGCUAACUACGUGCCAGCAGCCGCGGUAAUACGUAGGGACCAAGCGUUGUUCGGAUUUACUGGGCGUAAAGGGCGCGUAGGCGGCGUGGUAAGUCAUCUGUGAAAUCUCCGAGCUUAACUCGGAACGGUCAGAUGAUACUGCUUUGCUAGAGUGCAGAAGGGGCAAUCGGAAUUCUUGGUGUAGCGGUGAAAUGCGUAGAUAUCAAGAGGAACACCUGAGGUGAAGACGGGUUGCUGGGCUGACACUGACGCUGAGGCGCGAAAGCCAGGGGAGCAAACGGGAUUAGAUACCCUGGUAGUCCCUGAGCGGGCUGGCAAGGCGCAU
RNAcentral lists this ribosomal RNA (447 nucleotides) under uncultured bacterium. Its description in RNAcentral is "bacterial SSU rRNA". It matches the Rfam family "Bacterial small subunit ribosomal RNA", at positions 355 to 825 of the family's 1533-position model. The record is from RNAcentral.